Musca domestica (house fly) is the source of this 527-nucleotide long non-coding RNA. RefSeq lists it as uncharacterized. NCBI's taxonomy places the organism in Eukaryota, Metazoa, Arthropoda, Insecta, Diptera, Muscidae. The transcript is spliced from 3 exons. The record is from RefSeq and is a predicted model, not a curated record.
AUAAAAUAUCCAUAAGAAAACAAUUUUUGUCGUCUAUUGUUGAAGAAAAAUUAAAUUGUAUAUGAUAUAAAUUAAAUAAAAAUACGGUCGGAAUAUCUUGAGAAAAUCUGGGAAGUAUUUAUGCUGUACUGCUAAUCAGAAAGUUACAAAAAUACGUGGAAAUCGGGAAAGUUACAAACUAUGAAAAAAAAGAGAUUUUGGCCCAUCCAUAUAUGUUUGUGAAUGCAGUUUUAUUGACGGAUAUCGGUUUAAUUUUAAACAAACAUGUCGGCCGAACUACAAUCGACAAGCCUUUGUCGAAGCAGCUUCAAAUUAUAAUUCUUUCUUGAUGUUGAAAAUGCUUUUGUUGUUGCAAUGUUCAAUCGGUACUCUUGAUGUGAUGGGGUUUCGCAAAAUUCUUGUGCAAUAAUCCGUUUUUAAGAGGUUUUCAAAAUUUGAGAUGCUUUAACAAUUUCAAUAUAUAUGUAUACACUUGUAUUGUUAAAUAUUUCAUAUAUAUUUUUUAAUAUAAUAUUUUAUAUUUUUAA